This 369-nucleotide ribosomal RNA is filed under the name uncultured bacterium. Its description in RNAcentral is "bacterial SSU rRNA". It matches the Rfam family "Bacterial small subunit ribosomal RNA", at positions 527 to 898 of the family's 1533-position model. The record is from RNAcentral.
GGAGGGUGCAAGCGUUGUCCGGAUUUAUUGGGUUUAAAGGGUGCGUAGGCGGCCCUGUAAGUCAGUGGUGAAAGCCUCCAGCUCAACUGGAGAACUGCCAUUGAUACUGCAGGGCUUGAGUACAGACGAGGUUGGCGGAAUUGAUUGUGUAGCGGUGAAAUGCAUAGAUACAAUCAAGAACUCCGAUUGCGUAGGCAGCUAACUAGGCUGUAACUGACGCUGAGGCACGAAAGCGUGGGGAGCGAACAGGAUUAGAUACCCUGGUAGUCCACGCUGUAAACGAUGAUUACUCGAUGUUGGCGAUAAACAGUCAGCGUCUUAGCGAAAGCGUUAAGUAAUCCACCUGGGGAGUACGCCCGCAAGGGUGAA